Molecule: ribosomal RNA, 764 nt
Filed under: Staphylococcus sp.
Lineage: Bacteria; Bacillati; Bacillota; Bacilli; Caryophanales; Staphylococcaceae
Description: bacterial SSU rRNA
Rfam family: Bacterial small subunit ribosomal RNA
Source: RNAcentral
AUAACCUACCUAUAAGACUGGGAUAACUUCGGGAAACCGGAGCUAAUACCGGAUAACAUAUUGAACCGCAUGGUUCAAUAGUGAAAGGCGGCUUUGCUGUCACUUAUAGAUGGAUCCGCGCCGUAUUAGCUAGUUGGUAAGGUAACGGCUUACCAAGGCAACGAUACGUAGCCGACCUGAGAGGGUGAUCGGCCACACUGGAACUGAGACACGGUCCAGACUCCUACGGGAGGCAGCAGUAGGGAAUCUUCCGCAAUGGGCGAAAGCCUGACGGAGCAACGCCGCGUGAGUGAUGAAGGUCUUCGGAUCGUAAAACUCUGUUAUCAGGGAAGAACAAAUGUGUAAGUAACUGUGCACAUCUUGACGGUACCUGAUCAGAAAGCCACGGCUAACUACGUGCCAGCAGCCGCGGUAAUACGUAGGUGGCAAGCGUUAUCCGGAAUUAUUGGGCGUAAAGCGCGCGUAGGCGGUUUUUUAAGUCUGAUGUGAAAGCCCACGGCUCAACCGUGGAGGGUCAUUGGAAACUGGAAAACUUGAGUGCAGAAGAGGAAAGUGGAAUUCCAUGUGUAGCGGUGAAAUGCGCAGAGAUAUGGAGGAACACCAGUGGCGAAGGCGACUUUCUGGUCUGUAACUGACGCUGAUGUGCGAAAGCGUGGGGAUCAAACAGGAUUAGAUACCCUGGUAGUCCACGCCGUAAACGAUGAGUGCUAAGUGUUAGGGGGUUUCCGCCCCUUAGUGCUGCAGCUAACGCAUUAAGCACUCCG